CUUAUUUAGUCAUUCUACAAUAGAUGGACAUCCUCUCAAUUUCCAGUUCUUUGCCACCACAAAGAAAGCUGCUAUGAAUAUUUUAGAUCAUAAAUAAAGACCCCCUUUUCUUCAUUGGAUGUAAAAUCUAAAGACCAGAAAGUCAUUCCCUAAGGAAGGGGCUUGAGCCAGGACAGCACUGAAAAAGCUCAGAGAAGGCCGGAAUGACAUGGGAAAGGACCAAAGAAAGACAGUCACCAUUCCAUGACCCCCACAGCAUGCAUAUUUAUUGCAAUCCUAACUAGGAAUCUAAUGGGAAGGCCCGAGAAAAAGAAGUUUUUGAAAAAGAUAAAAAGUUAAACUGGGAAGGAUACCGUAUGCCAUUGGUAGGAUAGAGAAACCAGGGACACUUGAAAGGUGGUCAGGGUCCAUCAAAAGCUAGAAAGUAGAACAGGGAAUUUAAACCAAGUUUGCAUGUGUGUGUUUUGUCUUUAUCGUUAUUCUAUUUGCUCUACUCUCUUAAAAAGGCUACAUAAUUAUUUUUGGAGGGGUCCCUAUUCUUGGAGGAGGACAGGGAUAGGAUAGUCCAAUGUUGCCAUUGUGGAUUUGAGAUCCCUGAAAUAGAAGAUCCAGCUUUAAAUCAAAGCAGUACCCUUCAUUAAAUAGCUUUCAGCCAAAUAGGACAGAAAGGACAGGUCAAAAUUAAUUUCAUGUUCAUUCAUUGUUGUUUAGUCAUUUCAGUCGUGCCUAACUCUUUGUGACCUGAUUGGAGGUUUUCUUGGCAAAGACAUUGGAGUGGUUUGCCAUUUCCUUUUCCGGCUCAUUUUAAAGAUGAGGAACUGAGAUCUCAGGAAACAGGAGGACGCCACUGCCCUUCUUUAAUUUUUAGAAGCUCUGGAGGGUUUAGCCCCAGCCUUGAACACUUCUGUCCCUAUCAACUUGGAUGCCACUUGUUCAACAGUCUACAGUCUACCUGUGUGGAUCUUCCUCAGAGAAUCUUCCUAAUGUAUUGGAAGACAUUCUGUCACAGUCUGGAAAAACCCUAUUAACUUCUGAGAUGUGCCCAGGAUAAAUCCCAGAACUUAAAUGACAUGCACAGCUAAUAAGUUAUCAGAGGUGGGAUUUGAACUCAGAUAUUUUGCAUAGAUUUUAAAAAAUGAUAUUGGGUAUUGAGAGAAUCAAAUUCAAUGAAUGCCUUCAAUUAGAUUUCCAGC
RNAcentral lists this long non-coding RNA (1193 nucleotides) under Monodelphis domestica (gray short-tailed opossum). RNAcentral describes it as "lncRNA (ENSMODG00000049512.1)". The record is from RNAcentral. Lineage: Eukaryota; Metazoa; Chordata; Mammalia; Didelphimorphia; Didelphidae.